UAUACCAGGGGUGCAAAUCCCCUUCCAAAUAAAUU
RNAcentral lists this transfer RNA (35 nucleotides) under Lampetra fluviatilis (European river lamprey). RNAcentral's name for it is "partial tRNA-Leu". Lineage: Eukaryota; Metazoa; Chordata; Hyperoartia; Petromyzontiformes; Petromyzontidae. The record is from RNAcentral.